GAGUACUGAGAGGUUAAGUGCCUUUUUGAGGUAACAGAGGAAAGAUUGAUCCCGGUUCUUCCUAGAUUUGAGGUGAACUCUGUACCUAUUCUACCACUCGUUCAUUUAAAAAGACACAUAUUUUAAACAAAGAAAUGUGCUCCUAAGCUGAAGCAUGUUUGAGGCAUGAUGUCACACACAGUACGUGUUUUUGUUUGCAUGGAACAGGAUCUUUUGACAUUGCCAGAGAGCAGAAGAAUGAGGAAACAAAUCACAGCAGACAGGAUCAGAAGGAUUCCAAGUGGAGGCACUUAAACCAGCAGGAAGUUACCUAUGUUCUUGAGUGUGUUUAUAAAUUAAAUAUGUCCACAAAUCUGGAGCUCCACAAAACUGAAGAAAUAAUCAUUCAACUGCAAAACCAUUUACUCAAUUUAACAGACCAAUUUCUUUCUAUGGAAACUACUAUUGAGUCUCUGGUCCAUUCUGGCGAUCCUCAGCACCUUGUUGAUGAGAGACUGAACAUACUGGAGAAACAGUUGGAAAAUACCACCAUGGCUUUGACCAACCUUCAAAAACACCUUGAAGAGGGCCUGGACACAGCUUCUGAACAGAUUUCCCAUCUUAAAGAUGGCUUCUACUUUCUGGAAGAUUCCAAGAAUCACACCAGUACAGAUUCUGACGGACCAUACCUCUCACCAGCUAAUCCCUCACAAAAAACGAAACUGAAAGUCUUUACUCCAUGGCUGCCUUUCAUGAAAUCCAGCCCAAAUUAUGACAUUUCUGUGCCAGAAUCAACCUCACAAAUUCCUGAAGAAGAUACAACGGAUUCAGAGACACCUCGAGGGAAAACCAAGUUAAACAUCUCAUUCAUAAAGACUCUCACAGGUUGACUGACUAAUGACACACAAGUGUACUUCACUAAAUGAAGAGGAAAGAGAUUUUUUAGAUAAAGUUUCUUCCAGACAACUGAAGUAUCAAGUCCAAACUAGAGAUCUACUGUUAAAAAAAAAAGAUCACGUAUAACCAUAAACGAUCCCGGAAAUAAAACAAUCUUCUCCAACUUAGGAUAGCA
This 1051-nucleotide long non-coding RNA is filed under the name Phascolarctos cinereus (koala). Its description in RNAcentral is "lncRNA (ENSPCIG00000019619.2)". Lineage: Eukaryota; Metazoa; Chordata; Mammalia; Diprotodontia; Phascolarctidae. The record is from RNAcentral.